AGCCCUACGGGGCGCAGCAGUGAGGAAUAUUGGUCAAUGGGCGCGAGCCUGAACCAGCCAAGUAGCGUGAAGGAUGACUGCCCUACGGGUUGUAAACUUCUUUUAUAAGGGAAGAAUAAUGACUACGUGUAGUCAGAUGCCCGUACCUUAUGAAUAAGCAUCGGCUAACUCCGUGCCAGCAGCCGCGGUAAUACGGAGGAUGCGAGCGUUAUCCGGAUUUAUUGGGUUUAAAGGGUGCGUAGGCGGUAUUUUAAGUUAGUGGUAAAACGUCGGGGCUUCACCUUGAUUGGCCAUUAAAACUGGAG
RNAcentral lists this ribosomal RNA (305 nucleotides) under uncultured bacterium. RNAcentral describes it as "bacterial SSU rRNA". It matches the Rfam family "Bacterial small subunit ribosomal RNA", at positions 335 to 638 of the family's 1533-position model. The record is from RNAcentral.